RNAcentral lists this ribosomal RNA (231 nucleotides) under uncultured Peptostreptococcaceae bacterium. RNAcentral describes it as "partial 16S ribosomal RNA". It matches the Rfam family "Bacterial small subunit ribosomal RNA", at positions 1152 to 1382 of the family's 1533-position model. The record is from RNAcentral. Lineage: Bacteria; Bacillati; Bacillota; Clostridia; Peptostreptococcales; Peptostreptococcaceae.
CCAGGGAUAACCUGGAGGAAGGUGGGGAUGACGUCAAAUCAUCAUGCCCCUUAUGCUUAGGGCUACACACGUGCUACAAUGGGUGGUACAGAGGGCAGCCAAGUCGUGAGGCGGAGCUAAUCCCUUAAAGCCAUUCUCAGUUCGGAUUGUAGGCUGAAACUCGCCUACAUGAAGCUGGAGUUACUAGUAAUCGCAGAUCAGAAUGCUGCGGUGAAUGCGUUCCCGGGUCUU